CUUUCUUCUUUCCCUUGCUCUUCUCUUUAACCCUCCCUUCCUCCUUGCUUAUUUCUUUCCUUCCUUCAUUUUACUCAGACAUAUUAAGCUAGCUUUGACAUCAUGCUAAUCAUAUCAACUUAAAAAUAACUACUAUAAGUUUGCUUCUAAAUUCUGGACUGAAAUCUGUGAUAAGAUGAAGCUCUGAACUAAGUCAAUAUUUAUUUUAUUUUGUUUUUGUAACAAACACAAAUUCCCAAAUGGCAUUAAACUGCUAAAUAGUAAAUUCCUACUGAAGUGAUAAGCAAAGGAUUUUGACUUCCGCUUUUGUGUAUAGAAGGAGUGACUGACGAAUGCAAAGUAGAAAGAGCAGUGACCGGGAAAGUGCAGGAAGUGAUAGUGAGAAGGCACACUGAGACGCCACUUCCUAUGUGACAGGCAGGGUUUAAACUCAACAUAUACGGAUUAAUUUAAUUGUCACCAUAACACCUUGCUGGAGGUAUUAUUGCUUCUCCAAUUUACAUUCGAGAAAACUGAGGCAUAGAGAUAUUAAGGACACACAGCUACUAAUUGGCAGAGGUAAAGGGUCCACACACAGAAGGAUCAUACUGCGCUGUUUUCUCUCAAUUGAAACUGAAGCAUAAAUUUGCAGCGUGACGGAGGACAGAGUCUUCUGUGAAGCAUUAGGACUGUCUUUUAGUGCCUUCCUUUGAGGGAAAAAAUCCCAAAGGGUUUCAGAAAGCUCCUCUCACCAUAGUAAGGGAGGACAACUCCAGAAGGCAGGAGUGUGGCCAGCCUGAGAAGGUGGCCGUGUGGCACGAUGGAGACUGGUGGAGAGAGUACUUAGAAGAACUGGCGGGACAUCUGCAGCUCUUUCCCAUCCCUGCAAUCUGCUUUGACACCACCAUGUUAACAGCUGAAUCCUUUAUGUGAUAAUUAUACGAACAAAUGACAAAAAAUAUUGCCUUGAGAAGUCACUCGCUGUGCCAUUGGUUGGCCCAUGACUCAGCAGAGAGUCCACAGAUACACAUUUUGGAUGUGCUGCCUGGAGAUGAUGCAAGUGCUGUCAAGUUUCCCAACCUGGAUUUUAUUUCCUUCAUGAUGAGAAAUAGAAGUACAUAAUUUGGCAGAGAGAAAAGUGAUUAUCCUGUUGGUUAAGAGGAAAAUGUUUUAGUGAUAUGAAAAAUAAAAAAUCACUACAAAUUCCA
This 1187-nucleotide long non-coding RNA is filed under the name Felis catus (domestic cat). RNAcentral's name for it is "lncRNA (ENSFCAG00000042845.2)". The record is from RNAcentral. Lineage: Eukaryota; Metazoa; Chordata; Mammalia; Carnivora; Felidae.